Molecule: ribosomal RNA, 416 nt
Filed under: uncultured bacterium
Lineage: Bacteria
Description: bacterial SSU rRNA
Rfam family: Bacterial small subunit ribosomal RNA
Source: RNAcentral
UGAGUAAUGUCUGGGAAACUGCCUGAUGGAGGGGGAUAACUACUGGAAACGGUAGCUAAUACCGCACAACGUCGCACGACCAAAGAGGGGGACCUUCCGGCCUCUCGCCAUCAGAUGUGCCCAGAUGAGGAUUAGCUAGUAUGUGGGGUAAUGGCUCACCUACGCGACCAUCCCUACCUGGUCUGACAGGAUGACCAGCCACACUGGAACUGACACACGGUCCAGACUCCUACCGGAGGCAGCAGUGGGGAAUAUUGCACAAUGGGCGCAAGCCUGAUGCAGCCAUGCCGCGUGUAUGAAGAAAGCCUUCCGGUUGUAAAGUACUUUCAUCGAGGAGGAAAGCAUUGUGGUUAAUAACCACAGUGAUUGACGUUACUCGCACAAAAAGCACCGGCUAACUCCGUGCCAGCAGCCGC